RNAcentral lists this ribosomal RNA (1340 nucleotides) under uncultured bacterium. Its description in RNAcentral is "bacterial SSU rRNA". It matches the Rfam family "Bacterial small subunit ribosomal RNA", at positions 49 to 1394 of the family's 1533-position model. The record is from RNAcentral.
UAACACAUGCAAGUCGAACGCUGAAGCUCAGCUUGCUGGGUGGAUGAGUGGCGAAAGGGUGAGUAACACGUGGGUAAUCUGCCCUGUACUUCGGGAUAAGCCUGGGAAACUGGGUCUAAUACCGGAUAGGACGCAUCCUCGCAUGGGGGUGUGUGGAAAGUUGCUGCGGUAUGGGAUGAGCCCGCGGCCUAUCAGCUUGUUGGUGGGGUGAUGGCCUACCAAGGCGGUGACGGGUAGCCCGCCUGAGAGGGUGACCGGCCUCACUGGGACUGAGACACAGCCCACACUCCUACGGGAGGCAGCAGUGGGGAAUAUUGCACAAUGGGCGCAAGCCUGAUGCAGCCACGCCUCGUGGGGGAUGACGGCCUUCGGGUUGUACACCUCUUUCUCCCGGGACGAAGCGGAAGUGACUGUCCCGGGAGAAGAAGCACCGGCUGACUACGUGCCAACUACCACGGUAAUACAUAGGGUGCAAGCGUUGUCCUGAAUUAUCUGGGCGUAUAGAGCUCGUAUGCUGUGUGUCACGUCUGCCGUGAAAAUCUGCGGCUUAACCGUGAGGCGUGCCGUGGAUACGUGCAUCACUUGAGUUCCGACCGGGAGACUGGGAAUUCUUGGUGUAGCCGGUGGCACUCGCAGAAAUCAGUAAGAACAGCGGGUGUCGAACGCGGGUCUCUGAGCCCGAUACUGACGGUGAGGAGUUAAAGCGUGGGAGCGAACUGGAUUAGAUACCCCUGGUAGUCCUCUCUGUAUCCGUUGAGCGCUAGGUGUGUCGUGCUGUUCACGUGUCUCGUGCCGUAGCUCACGCAUUAAGCGCCUCGCCUGGGGAGUACGGCCGCAAGGCUAAAACUCAAAGGAAUUGACGGGGGCCCGCACAAGCGGCGGAGCAUGUGGAUUAAUUUGAUGCAAUGCGAAGAACCUUACCUGGGCUUGACAUGCAUCAGACAGGCGUAGAGAUACGUCCUCCCUUGUGGUUGGUGUACAGGUGGUGCAUGGCUGUCGUCAGCUCGUGUCGUGAGAUGUUGGGUUAAGUCCCGCAACGAGCGCAACCCUUGUCUCAUGUUGCCAGCGGGUUAUGCCGGGGACUCGUGGGAGACUGCCGGGGUCAACUCGGAGGAAGGUGGGGAUGACGUCAAGUCAUCAUGCCCCUUAUGUCCAGGGCUUCACACAUGCUACAAUGGCUGGUACAGAGGGUGGCGAUGCCGUGAGGUGGAGCGAAUCCCUUAAAGCCGGUCUCAGUUCGGAUCGUAGUCUGCAACUCCACUGCGUGAAGUCGGAGUCGCUAGUAAUCGCAGAUCAGCAACGCUGCGGUGAAUACGUUCCCGGGCCUUGUACACCCCCCC